CCACACAAGAGAAAGACAGGGCUUCCUACUAGAUAGAGUUAGUCUCAAAAACCCCAGGGGGCUUCUUAUGUGCUAAACAAGUAGUUGAAGGUUAAUUAGCAGUUUAACUAAACAUAGUAAAGCUGCCAGUCUCCUUCAUACAAAA
Small nucleolar RNA from Echinops telfairi (small Madagascar hedgehog), 145 nucleotides. Lineage: Eukaryota; Metazoa; Chordata; Mammalia; Afrosoricida; Tenrecidae. The record is from RefSeq and is a predicted model, not a curated record.